This 253-nucleotide ribosomal RNA is filed under the name uncultured bacterium. RNAcentral describes it as "partial 16S ribosomal RNA". It matches the Rfam family "Bacterial small subunit ribosomal RNA", at positions 524 to 776 of the family's 1533-position model. The record is from RNAcentral.
UACGAAGGGGACUAGCGUUGUUCGGAUUCACUGGGCGUAAAGCGCGCGUAGGCGGAUCGCUAAGUCAGGGGUGAAAUCCCAGGGCUCAACCCUGGAACUGCCUUUGAUACUGACGAUCUGGAGAUCGGGAGAGGUUGGUGGAAUUCCGAGUGUAGAGGUGAAAUUCGUAGAUAUUCGGAGGAACACCAGAAGCGAAGGCGGCCAACUGGCCCGAUACUGACGCUGAGGCGCGAAAGCGUGGGGAGCAAACAGG